RNAcentral lists this ribosomal RNA (249 nucleotides) under uncultured bacterium. RNAcentral describes it as "partial 16S ribosomal RNA". It matches the Rfam family "Bacterial small subunit ribosomal RNA", at positions 524 to 776 of the family's 1533-position model. The record is from RNAcentral.
AACGGGGGAGGCGGACGUUAUUCAUCUUUACUGGGCGUAAAGGGUGUGUAGGUUGUAAUAUAAGUAAUAAUUGAAAAAUUAGUUAUUAAAUAAUAAUUAUUAAAACUGUAUUACUUGAGUUAUUUAGGAGAUUAUGGUACUCUUAAUGGAGAGGUUGAAUUCGGAGAUAUUAGGGGAACUAACAAAGGUGAAAACAAUAAUCUAUAAAUAAACUGACAUUGAGACACUAAAGCUUGGGGUUCAAAUAGG